UUAGCAACACGCCUGCCUAAUUUUGCAAGUCAACCGGACAGAUGGGAGCUUGCUCCCUGAUGUUAGCGGCGGACGGGUGAGUAACACGUGGGUAACCUGCCUGUAAGACUGGGAUAACUCCGGGAAACCGGGGCUAAUACCGGAUGGUUGUUUGAACCGCAUGGUUCAGACAUAAAAGGUGGCUUCGGCUACCACUUACAGAUGGACCCGCGGCGCAUUAGCUAGUUGGUGAGGUAACGGCUCACCAAGGCGACGAUGCGUAGCCGACCUGAGAGGGUGAUCGUCCACACUGGGACUGAGACACGGCCCAGACUCCUACGGGAGGCAGCAGUAGGGAAUCUUCCGCAAUGGACGAAAGUCUGACGGAGCAACGCCGCGUGAGUGAUGAAGGUUUUCGGAUCGUAAAGCUCUGUUGUUAGGGAAGAACAAGUGCCGUUCAAAUAGGGCGGCACCUUGACGGUACCUAACCAAAAAGCCACGGCUAACUACGUGCCAGCAGCCGCGGUAAUACCUAGGUGGCAAGCGUUUGUCCGGAAUUAUUG
This 542-nucleotide ribosomal RNA is filed under the name Bacillus sp. Ni42. RNAcentral's name for it is "bacterial SSU rRNA". It matches the Rfam family "Bacterial small subunit ribosomal RNA", at positions 36 to 556 of the family's 1533-position model. The record is from RNAcentral. Lineage: Bacteria; Bacillati; Bacillota; Bacilli; Caryophanales; Bacillaceae.